ACGGAAGGCAGCAGUGGGGAAUUUUGCGCAAUGGGGGGAACCCUGACGCAGCAACGCCGCGUGCGGGAUGAAGGCCUUCGGGUUGUAAACCGCUUUCAGCAGGGACGAUCGUGACGGUACCUGCAGAAGAAGCUCCGGCUAACUACGUGCCAGCAGCCGCGGUAAUACGUAGGGAGCGAGCGUUAUCCGGAUUCAUUGGGCGUAAAGCGCGCGUAGGCGGCGCCGCAAGCGGAAUCUCUAAUCCGAGGGCUCAACCCCCGGCCGGAUUCCGAACUGCGGUGCUCGAGUGCGGUAGGGGCAGGCGGAAUUCCCGGUGUAGCGGUGAAAUGCGCAGAUAUCGGGAAGAACACCGAUGGCGAAGGCAGCCUGCUGGGCCGACACUGACGCUGAGGCGCGAAAGCUAGGGGAGCGAACAGGAUUAGAUACCCUGGUA
RNAcentral lists this ribosomal RNA (433 nucleotides) under uncultured Eggerthella sp. RNAcentral describes it as "bacterial SSU rRNA". It matches the Rfam family "Bacterial small subunit ribosomal RNA", at positions 341 to 792 of the family's 1533-position model. The record is from RNAcentral. Lineage: Bacteria; Bacillati; Actinomycetota; Coriobacteriia; Eggerthellales; Eggerthellaceae.